Molecule: long non-coding RNA, 460 nt
Organism: Ostrinia nubilalis (European corn borer)
Lineage: Eukaryota; Metazoa; Arthropoda; Insecta; Lepidoptera; Crambidae
Exons: 2
Source: RefSeq, a predicted model, not a curated record
UCCGCCAGAUAGCAAUACGUAGACGCGAGGUCCAAAUGCUGCAUGAUUGGUGGAUUUUGACAUAUCUGUCAAUUGGAUUACUAAUGUUUGGCCAAAAAACGUUUCCCAAAUUAUCACAUCGCAAACAACGUUUCGCAAAUUUUUAUUUGGCAAAUUCUCAUUUGGCAAAGCAACUUAUUGCAAACUUUUAAUUCGCAAAUGUUUUUUUUGGCAUAUUAUUGUUUAGCAAAUUAUUGUUUGGCAAAGUAUGGUUUGCCAAACGUUUCAUUAGGCAAAAAUAUUUCACGAUAAACUAUUUAUAAAUUAUUUUGAUUGGUGCAUAGAAUGGUAUACAAAUUAGCUUGUGGUUAUUAUUUUGUUUAGUGGGGAGUUAAUAUAAAAUUUGUUCUACAUUAAUUUCCUUAUUUCAUUCUUUGUAUCGAAAUUUCCAAAUGAUUCAUUAACAAUAGAGGUGAUUCUA